RNAcentral lists this long non-coding RNA (1445 nucleotides) under Anser brachyrhynchus (Pink-footed goose). RNAcentral describes it as "lncRNA (ENSABRG00000004997.1)". Lineage: Eukaryota; Metazoa; Chordata; Aves; Anseriformes; Anatidae. The record is from RNAcentral.
CCGCAGCGCCCAGGAAGCUGUGGGCAGGGUGCGCUGGCUUGCUGCGGGGUCACGGCGGCUCUCUGCCAGCGCUGGGGCUGGGGGGGCCGUGGGAGGGCUGCUUGGGGGGGGGCAGGGUACGAUUUCAAAGCCUGGAAAGCUCCCGCUGGGCCGAGCCAGCUCCCGCGCCCGUCUCACCGCAUCCCGUGGGCCGGCGAUUCCCGUGGCCGUUGGGCACCCCGGCCCGAUACGGCCCCGCUGGUACUCUCGAUCCCAUUCUGCCCCCGUCCCCACGGGGCCGUGUCCCGGCGGCCCCCCCGGAGCGUUUCAUCGCCGCGCGUGCGCGGACGCGCCUCGCGCCCCGGCAGGCCUCCCCGCGCCCCGCUGCGUGGGCACGCGCCCUGGGUACGUGCCGUCCGGGCCGCGGAGAACGCACCGAGCCCGGCACACGCCCAGGCCUUGGGGCUCCGCCGGCUCCCUGCCUCACCACGCCUGGCUUGCGACGGCUCGCCCGGGCCUCCCGCCGCGCUGCUCCCGCCGUGCCCCGGGCGCGCGCGGCACCCCCGAGCACCCCGGUGCGGCACCGCGGCUCUCCGUGCCUCGUGUGCGUGGCACGUCGUGCACCGAUGGGUGCCGGAGCCGGGGAGGGGAUGGGUGGCACCGGGAUAGCACCGGGGGGCUGUGCCCUGGAGGGAAAAGCCUCUCGGGGUGCAUCCCCGGGCAGCCAGCAGUCACGGGGACGGCGCUCGCAGCGGGAUGUGGAUCUCCCUGCGGGGCACGGUGCUUGGUGGAGGGGCUGUGGGGUCUUCCCCGUGUCCCCAUCCCAUAGCAAGGGGCAGGUUUUUCCUCCUCUCGCCCCCCAGCAGCCCCCCACCGUAGGCGGGGGUGUGCUGAACGUGCACCCGAGCACGUGCUGCAAGCGUGGGGAGUGCGGGGGCCCUGCGCAGCGCCCUGCUGAGCCCCCGCGGCGCUCUUCUCUCUCCCCGCAGGCUGUACCUGGGAAAUCCCAUGGACCCUCCUGACAUUUUAGGUGUGGACCUGACUGCUGCCAGACCCACCCAGCUUCCAGGAAGGGCUAAAAGUAAGCAGCUUUUCCCCCUGCACCCCCUGCCUCCAGCCCGUCAGCUGCGCAAAGUCCCUUCUCUCUGCGCCGGGAGCUGCGCCCUUUCACCUGGGUGACGGGCAGGAUCUGUCCCUCCGUCCCCUCCGCUCUGUCUCUCUGCUGCCACUCGCUUACUGCAGCCCCGGGUGGCAGGGAGCCGGGGUGACGGCGCGUGCCAGCGGUGUGGGCGGCUCUGCCCAGCCCCGCCAGGCUGGACUCUGCCCCGCUGGCCUUCGGCCGGGCCCCUCGUCCCCUCCCGGGGCAGGGCUCCCCGUUGCGGGGGAGAUCGGCUCGGCACAGUCGGAGCCGCGACGUCCCCGGGCGGGGAGGGAGGUCAGACACAGCGCGAGUGCCACCAACCCCC